RNAcentral lists this ribosomal RNA (301 nucleotides) under uncultured bacterium. RNAcentral's name for it is "partial 16S ribosomal RNA". It matches the Rfam family "Bacterial small subunit ribosomal RNA", at positions 509 to 809 of the family's 1533-position model. The record is from RNAcentral.
CAGCAGCCGCGGGAAUACGGAGGGCGCGAGCGUUACCCGGAUUUACUGGGCGUAAAGGGCGUGUAGGCGGCCUGGGGCGUCCCAUGUGAAAGGCCACGGCUCAACCGUGGAGGAGCGUGGGAUACGCUCAGGCUAGAGGGUGGGAGAGGGUGGUGGAAUUCCCGGAGUAGCGGUGAAAUGCGCAGAUACCGGGAGGAACGCCGAUGGCGAAGGCAGCCACCUGGUCCACUUCUGACGCUGAGGCGCGAAAGCGUGGGGAGCAAACCGGAUUAGAUACCCCCGUAGUCCCUGUCUCUUAUAA